Molecule: long non-coding RNA, 323 nt
Filed under: Homo sapiens (human)
Lineage: Eukaryota; Metazoa; Chordata; Mammalia; Primates; Hominidae
Description: HSALNT0006598
Source: RNAcentral
AGGCAACCCUGACUAUAUUAAGCAGGUAAGCAACUUUGGAAAGCCACCCUCUAUGAUGACAAUCCACAGGCCAGGCAAACCUUCACGGAGAUAAUGUCUGAGACCAAAAGAGACAUGAAAAGCCAGUUGGAAGCAGUUUGGUUACAGGAGUACUGUUUGAUUGGCAACUGCAAUGGGCCCUUACAGUCCCCUCAGCUCCACACAGCUCAGAAGAACUGCACUCUGAUGGUUGAUUGUAACACUGAAGCAGCUUUGAGUUCUUGAGGAAGGCUUGAGUACUUGCUGGCAUUGAAGUAGCCACCCCAAUCUGGCUAUGACAUUUU